This 457-nucleotide ribosomal RNA is filed under the name uncultured bacterium. RNAcentral describes it as "partial 16S ribosomal RNA". It matches the Rfam family "Bacterial small subunit ribosomal RNA", at positions 338 to 795 of the family's 1533-position model. The record is from RNAcentral.
CCUACGGGAGGCAGCAGUGAGGAAUAUUGGUCAAUGGGCGAGGGCCUGAACCAGCCAAGUCGCGUGAGGGAGUACUGCCCUAUGGGUUGUAAACCUCUUUUGUCGGGGAGCAAAAGCCGGACGUGUCCGGCUGUUAGAGUACCCGAAGAAAAAGCAUCGGCUAACUUCGUGCCAGCAGCCGCGGUAAUACGGAGGAUGCGAGCGUUUUCCGGAAUUAUUGGGUUUAAAGGGUGCGCAGGCGGAUUUUUAAGUCAGCGGUCAAAUCGUGGGGCUCAACCCCAUCCAGCGGUUGAAACUGGGGAUCUAGAGUGUGCGAGAGGUAUGCGGAAUGCGGGGUGUAGCGGUGAAGUGCAUAGAUAUCACGCAGAACCCCGAUUGCGAAGGCAGCAUACCGGUGCACAACUGACGCUCAGGCACGAAAGCGUGGGUAUAGAACAGGAUUAGAUACCCGGUAGUC